CGUAACAAGGUUUCCGUAGGUGAACCUGCGGAAGGAUCAUUACAGAGCGUGAAGACUCCUCGGCCCCUCCAGCGGCGCAAGUCGGUGCGAGGGAUACAUGCUGCGGGGUCGACCCUCCCACCCGUGUCGAUAUUAUUCUCCUGUUGCUUUGGCAGGCCGGGGUAACCCGCUGGCCCUUGGGCUGGAGCGUGCCUGCCAGAGAAUGUAUUUUCAAUAUGUUUUGGAACAACUCGUGUUAUUGGUGAAGUCUGAGCACAAUGUGAGAAAUUAGUUAAAACUUUCAACAACGGAUCUCUUGGCUCUGGCAUCGAUGAAGAACGCAGCGAAAUGCGAUAAGUAAUGUGAAUUGCAGAAUCUAGUGAAUCAUCGAAUCUUUGAACGCACAUUGCGCCCCUUGGUAUUCCGAGGGGCAUGCCUGUUCGAGCGUCAUAACAACCCCUCAAGCCGCUCUGGCUUGGUCUUGGGGCUCGCCCGCAGCUGCGCGGCGUCCCUUAAACCCAGUGGCGGAACCGGUGGUGCUCUCCGCGUAGUCACGUUCUCGCGACAGGGCGGCACUGGAUCCAGCCAAAAAGACCCACGGCGUCUUGCGCGACGUGUCUCUCUCAAUGGUUGACCUCGAAUCAGGUAGGGAUACCCGCUGAACUUAAGCAUAUCAAUAAGCGGAGGAAAAGAAACCAACCGGGAUUACCCUAGUAACGGCG
Molecule: ribosomal RNA, 701 nt
Filed under: Phyllactinia juglandis
Lineage: Eukaryota; Fungi; Ascomycota; Leotiomycetes; Helotiales; Erysiphaceae
Description: eukaryotic LSU rRNA
Rfam family: 5.8S ribosomal RNA (bases 276-429)
Source: RNAcentral